RNAcentral lists this ribosomal RNA (450 nucleotides) under uncultured bacterium. RNAcentral describes it as "partial 16S ribosomal RNA". It matches the Rfam family "Bacterial small subunit ribosomal RNA", at positions 354 to 796 of the family's 1533-position model. The record is from RNAcentral.
GUGGGGAAUCUUCCGCAAUGGACGAAAGUCUGACGGAGCAACGCCGCGUGAGUGAUGAAGGUCUUCGGAUUGUAAAGCUCUGUUAAUCGGGACGAAAGAGCCUAGUGUGAAUAAUGCUAGGAAGUGACGGUACCGGAAUAGAAAGCCACGGCUAACUACGUGCCAGCAGCCGCGGUAAUACGUAGGUGGCAAGCGUUGUCCGGAAUUAUUGGGCGGAAAGCGCGCGCAGGCGGAUCUGCCAGUCUGUCUUAAAAGUUCGGGGCUUAACCCCGUGAUGGGAUGGAAACUACAGGUCUAGAGUAUCGGAGAGGAAAGUGGAAUUCCUAGUGUAGCGGUGAAAUGCGUAGAUAUUAGGAGGAACACCAGUGGCGAAGGCGGCUUGCUGGACAUUAACUGACGCUGAUGCGCGAAAGCGUGGGGAGCAAACAGGAUUAGAUACCCGAGUAGUCC